This 692-nucleotide ribosomal RNA is filed under the name marine sponge bacterium PLATEactino+(1)-84. RNAcentral describes it as "partial 16S ribosomal RNA". It matches the Rfam family "Bacterial small subunit ribosomal RNA", at positions 60 to 736 of the family's 1533-position model. The record is from RNAcentral.
AGUCGAACGGCAGCGCGGGGGCGCUUGCGUCCCUGGCGGCGAGUGGCGGACGGGNGAGUAACGCAUGGGAACGCGCCCNAUUGUGGGGGAUAACCCUGGGAAACCAGGGCUAAUACCGCAUAAUCUCUACNGAGCNAAGCGGGGGACCUUUUCNGAGGCCUCGCGCGAUCGGAGCGGCCCAUGUCCGACUAGCUAGUUGACGAGGUAACGGCUCGCCAAGGCUACNAUCGGUNGCUGGUCUGANAGGAUGACCAGCCACNCCGGGACUGAGACACGGCCCGGACUCCUACGGGAGGCANCAGUGGGGAAUCUUGGACAAUGGGGGCAACCCUGAUCCAGCGAUGCCGCGUGAGUGAAGAAGGCCUUCGGGUUGUAAAGCUCUUUCNCGAGGGAAGAAACGGCGGCGGCGAACAGCCAGCCGCAACUGACGGUACCUCGACNAGAANCGCCGGCUAACUACGUGCCANCAGCCGCGGUAAGACGUANGGCGCGAGCGUUAAUCNNAAUUACUGGGCGUAAAGAGUGCGUANGCGGCUGGNCAAGUCAGACGGGAAAGCCCCGGGCUCAACCCGGGAAGGUCGUUUGAAACUGGUCAGCUGGAGUUCGGNAGANGAAGGUAGAAUUCCGCAUGUANCGGUGAUAUGCGUANAUAUGCGGAGGAAUACUUAGGGCGAAGGCAUCCUUCUGGGCCA